UAUCGCCUACGCACACGCCGUAUACCCCGUGUGGAGCCAAGUGGCACGGAGUUACUGAAAUUGGAAAUGCGCCCCAACAUUCAGUAGCUCAUUAUCGUGAUCAGUUAUCAUUGAUUCGUCCGGGCCAGUUUCUGUGGACACCAUAUACAGAUUGUAUCCUGCCCGAUUACUGCAUUGAUUCGACCACAUCCUACUUGUGCGACACAUAUUUGGUGUGCUGGUCAUUUGUCGAGGCACACGAGGCUGGACGCGUUUGCCGACAAAUCAACCGCUACCAGCGUAUUCCUCAGUAUUGUGAUAGGAUGCUA
Molecule: long non-coding RNA, 308 nt
Organism: Salvia splendens (bonfire salvia)
Lineage: Eukaryota; Viridiplantae; Streptophyta; Magnoliopsida; Lamiales; Lamiaceae
Exons: 3
Source: RefSeq, a predicted model, not a curated record